GAUGAACGCUGGCGGCGUGCUUAACACAUGCAAGUCGAGCGGAAAGACGCGAAGCUUGCUUGUCUCAUGUUAGCCGCGCGCGUGUGAAUAACACGUGUAUACCGUACUUAUAAGUCUGGGAUCACUAGGGGAAACCGGAGCAAAUACCAUAUGAUCUUUUGCUCCACGGGGUGCGAAGGAAAGUUACGGUCUUUGUGUCUCUAAUCGCUGGUUCCCCGCUGCAUUGGCUAGUUGGUAAGGUCACGGCUUAUCACGGCGACGAUGCGUAGCCGACCUGAGGGGAGGAUCGGCCACACUGGAACUGAGACACGGACCAGACGCCUACGGGAGGCAGCAGUAGGGAAUCGUCGGCAAUGGGCGGAAGCCUUACGGAGCAACGCCGCGUGAGUGAUGAAGGCCUUCGGUUCGUAAAACCCUGUUAUGAGGGACGAACAGAUGUCUAAGUAAACGAGGAGAUAUUGACGGUACCUGGUCAAAAAGCACCGGCUAACUACGUG
RNAcentral lists this ribosomal RNA (497 nucleotides) under uncultured bacterium. Its description in RNAcentral is "partial 16S ribosomal RNA". It matches the Rfam family "Bacterial small subunit ribosomal RNA", at positions 28 to 507 of the family's 1533-position model. The record is from RNAcentral.